GGUAACACAUUGAGUCGAGUGAUACUAAUAGCUCGUGAGGCUUGACCAUAUU
RNAcentral lists this ribosomal RNA (52 nucleotides) under Leptospira semungkisensis. Its description in RNAcentral is "partial 23S ribosomal RNA". Lineage: Bacteria; Pseudomonadati; Spirochaetota; Leptospiria; Leptospirales; Leptospiraceae. The record is from RNAcentral.